RNAcentral lists this unclassified non-coding RNA (424 nucleotides) under soil metagenome. RNAcentral's name for it is "partial contains 5.8S ribosomal RNA, internal transcribed spacer 2, and large subunit ribosomal RNA". The stretch from base 1 to 119 matches the Rfam family "5.8S ribosomal RNA", at positions 35 to 154 of the family's 154-position model. The record is from RNAcentral.
GAUGAAGAACGCAGCGAAAUGCGAUAAGUAGUGUGAAUUGCAGAAUUCCGUGAAUCAUCGAUCUUUGAACGCACAUUGCGCCUUCUGGUAUUCCGGAAGGCAUGCCUGUUCGAGAGUCAUUAACAACCGUUUCGAUCCCUUUCUUUCAGAAAUUACAAAGAGGAAAAGGGUUUGGUUAUGGUGGAGGAGGGAAAGGGAGCGUUUAGCCUGUAAAAAAAGAGGCUGUGUUCCGCCUCCCCCCCAAAAUUGUACAGGCGGUCGUGUGCGCCCACGCAUCGAGGUGUUGUAAAAGCUGCCACGGCACUUUUCACCUGUGCAGUGCGAGAUUGGCCAGCCGGUUUAAAAACCCCUCCAAACAAUCAAAGGUUGACCUCGGAUCAGGUAGGGAUACCCGCUGAACUUAAGCAUAUCAAUAAGCGGAGGA